GCAUCCUGGGAGCUGUUUUGAUUGGUUUGUUACCGGUGGUUGGCUCUCUGCUUAUGCAACAACUUCCACCUGGCAUUCCUUUUCGGUUAUGCGUCAAGGUUUCUUUCCCUUGAGCGCUUAUGGUUUCCUGUGUUGCCUACCUUUGUGACGGUAUUGGUUGAUUAAAUCGAAGUUGUGUUUCAUCAUGUGUCAUUUGUAGGCAUACAAUGAACCUCAAAGCAGUUUCUAUGAUCCACCUUGUUGAUGCGCAUGCGUCUACAUUGUGGGUUAUGGAGUCUUGCUUGGUUUUCAGGAUAUAGAACAUGAUAUGGGUGUGGGUCUUUGUGAUCCUUAUUUUGCCCUUGUUGAACGUUGUUAUUCUUUUAGAUGACUACCUAUCCCGAAUUGGCUCGUACCACGGGUUGGGCUAUGUUGUUCAACAGUAAUACUAUCGUUCUUGCUUCUCUAAAAAGACGGCCUGCUUUGAUUGGUUUGUACCAGAGGUGGGCUAUGUCGAAGAGGGAUGCUACCUGGUUGAUCCUGCCAGUAGUCAUAUGCUUGUCUCAA
Molecule: unclassified non-coding RNA, 546 nt
Filed under: Rhanterium epapposum
Lineage: Eukaryota; Viridiplantae; Streptophyta; Magnoliopsida; Asterales; Asteraceae
Description: contains 3 external transcribed spacer, ETS
Source: RNAcentral